CGAUUAUUGUCUCUAUGCUUUAAAUCCCCUGGUUAGUAUUCAGGAAGGCGGCUUUAGCUCAGUGUGAAAUAUUGAAUUUCUGUGCCCCGGCAGUUCUGCAUGUGAUAAAAGUGCUGCUAAACUCUGUGGUAUUGCCUCCCUCCUCUCAAAAUACACCCAGCUUCAGAAAACCUGUUGUAUGUGAACAGAAAUGGCGACAGGGGACGAGCCUGAGGAACAGACGAAUGCAUUACACGCCACACAAGACAAGGGCGUUUUUACCGUGCAGUGGGGAAAUUACAUUAGUUGGAUGCCUAAGAAGUCUUCCCUGUUAUUGGAUUUCUGUUUGUGCUUUGACUACUCUUUAAGGCUACUCUUUAAGGCUAUGUCCAUACAAAAAUUGGUAUUUUCAAAACCACAGUUGUUUCUAUGCAGUUUGGCCAUUUGUCCAGAAAUAAACGCAGUAUCAGGUGACUGAAAUCAAAACUCUAAAAAC
This 475-nucleotide long non-coding RNA is filed under the name Danio rerio (zebrafish). Its description in RNAcentral is "lncRNA si:ch211-113h16.1 (ENSDARG00000097107.2)". Lineage: Eukaryota; Metazoa; Chordata; Actinopteri; Cypriniformes; Danionidae. The record is from RNAcentral.